RNAcentral lists this long non-coding RNA (4834 nucleotides) under Ornithorhynchus anatinus (platypus). Its description in RNAcentral is "lncRNA (ENSOANG00000049830.1)". The record is from RNAcentral. Lineage: Eukaryota; Metazoa; Chordata; Mammalia; Monotremata; Ornithorhynchidae.
AGUGCUUAGUAAAUACGAUUGAGUGAAUGAAUAAAUGAUCCAUUUUCUUUCCAUUUUCAGGCCCUGCUCAGCACCUGGCAGUUUGUCUCAGCAGCCACACGGGGACAGCAUCAACUAAGAGAAAAAACAGCUUUUUUUUUUAAGAUUUGGCCGCCGGGAGGCGAGGGAUGAAAGCUGUCCAAGGUUGCGAUUCAAAAGGCCAAACCCAACAUUUCCCAAUGCAAGGCGGACAAUCCGGAUGGCCUGGGCCAAGGACCCCGGACCCUGGGAGCCAAUCAUUGAUCCAUCAUGAUUUGUGUCAGCCGAGCAGUUAUGGAGAUGGACAGCUUAUUAUCAGCUUUAAGGGAAGAAACACAAAGCAAGCAGGACUGCUAUGAAGAGAAUCGGGGAAUGUGGGGACCAAUCCCGGCAACCGAGACUAAUGAAUCUGGCCAAGCAGGCGGCGGAUGGAGGAGGCCUGACCCAGGAACACUGCUGGAAAUUAGCUUCGUCGACCCGAAGGCAGGAAGGACUGAACGUAGCCAGUAAUGAGGAAAUGUGCGAAGGAAAAAAGGCUUAAACUCAAGCUCCUUUCAAGUCGUGGUUUUACCGGAUCUCAUCAUUCAAGGCAACUAUUCUGAGCUGUGAUUCUAGGGGCUUAUGCCUUGUCAGCAAGUCUGAGUCAGCACGGGAAAGAAAAUUAGGUAAAACACCUUAAUUAUUCAGUAACUGCUGCAGCCUCUGCAAGUGAAUGGUUGUCAUUCUGCCCUUGAGGCGAGUGCUUUCUUCUCUUAAGGCCUGGACCGUCCUCCCUCCUGCAGGGUCCAGUAGCCAGUCUUGAUCUGUGUGAGGGGUUUGGGUAGCCAGCUGUGACCUUGUCGGAACAGACCCCGUCCUCCAUUUUCCUUUCAUCUCUCUUCACCAAAUGGGAAAGUAGCUCUCUAGCACUUGCAUAAAUAUAAUAGCAUUCUAUCACUCUAUUAUUAUUCUAUUCAUAUAAUAAUGUUGGUAUUUGUUAAGCGCUUACUAUAUGCAGAGCACUGUUCUAAGCGCUGGGGUAGACACAGGGGAAUCAGGUUGUCCCACAUGAGGCUCAAAGUCUUCAUCCCCGUUUUUUUACAGAUGAGGGAACUGAGGCACAGAGAAGUAAAGUGACUUGCCCACAGUCACACAGCUGACAGGUGGCAGAGCUGAGAUUCGAACCCAUGACCUCUGCCUCCCAAGCCCAGGCUCUUUCCACUGAGCCACGCUGCUUCUCUAAUAUAUUACUAUGGUAUGUAAUAUAAUAUUACUUAUUCCAUUCUAUUACUCUUUCCUCUCUACAAUAGAUUUUAAUAUCUGCCUCCUCACUCUUGUUUGCUCCUUGAAGGCAGGGAUUAUAUCCGUUUCCUGAACCACGUGGCCUAGAAGGCAGAGCGUCGGUCUGGAAGUCAGAGGACUUGGGUUCUAAUUCUGACUCUGCCACUUGCUGGCUGUGGAUGACCUUAGGCAGGUCACCUCACUUCUCUGCGCUUCAGUUUUCUCCUCAGUAAAAGUGGGGAUUCAUCCGUUCUCCAUCCUCGUUAGAUUGCGAGCCCCCAUAUAGGAUAAAGAUGUUGUUUGAUCUGCUUAUGGUGUAUCUACAACAGUGCUUGGCACACAGUAAGUACUUAACAAAUACCAUAAUUACUAAUAGUAAUCCUAUUGAAGUUUCCCAAGUGCUUAGUACGGAGUUCUGCACGUAAUAGAUACUCAUUAAAUUCUACUGUUGGAUCAAGUCAGCCGAGUCCUCGUUUCAUGCUCUGUUCAUAGCACAGCUGUCUUCCGUUCAGUGAUGGACCUGGGGUUUUUUUCCUAAUGGAAAAUCUGGGUCCCUUUGCAUUCCAUAAAGGGAUAUUUCUUUGUUUCACCGGUAUUUGUUAAGUGCUUACUAAGUGCCAGGCAAAGCACUGGGGUAAAUACUAGAUAAUCAGUUUGGACACAGUCAGCGUCCCACGUGGGACUCACGGUCUUAUUCCCCAUCUUACAGAUGAAGUAACUGAGGCACCGAGAAGUUAAGAGACUUACCCAGGCUCCCACAGCCGAAAAAUGGAGGAGCCAGAUUUGGAACCCAGGUCCCUGUGACUCCCAAUUCCAUGUUCCAUCCGCUAAGCUAAGCUACGCCGCUUCUCAUUUGGUUGCUGAUCUACCACCUGGAGGAAGAGGGAAGCCACUAUCUGCCUCCAAUAAUCUCCAAACCAAUUUGGGAGGUGAGACUCUUAACCCUUUAGCAACCACUUCUAAAAUCUGAUAAUUAAAGUACCGGACACCGUGCUAAACACUGGUGAAUAAAGAGGUUAUCAGAUUGGACCCGGUCCCUACCCCACUCAAGGUUUACAAGCUAAGAAGGGGCCUUAUCCCCAUUUUACAGGCUCAGAAGGGAUAAGUGAUUUGCCCACGGUCACCUAGCUGGGCUCUAGGCACAGCUGGGAUUAGAACCCUGGCAUCCUGACUCCCAGCUCCACUAGGCCACUGGACGGUGGUUCGGUAUUUCUUUUUCCAUUUGAUUUGAUUUUUCUGGAGGAGUUGGUUGGCUGCCGGAAAGAAGCGGUCACAACGAAAUCCUUUCCCACUUAAUCCCGGUGCUUAAAGUCUCAUUACACAAGACCAUCACAAUUCCUGGCAUGUCAGCCUUCAUUACUUAUUUAUAAGGACUGAUUUAAUGUGAUCUAAUGUGAUUUAGUGUGUCAUAGGCAAGCGACUCAGCGAGCCAAGUUGCUCUAUUGUUUUUGGACGGUGAGCACUGAAUGCAGAAGUAGGCAAGAAUGCUUAGCGUCCUUUACCCCAAGUGAAGGGAGAGUCCCAAGGAUUCUUGCCCGCUUUGUGAUCUCCCCCAGGAAAUCAAAAUGCAAGAAGAAAAAUCUGGCCCAAGAAAGAAGAAAACGGGCAAGUCCCCGCCGUUCUUGAGAAUGGAAUAAUAAUAAUAAUGUUGGUAUUUGUUAAGCGCUUACUAUGUGCAGAGCACUGUUCUAAGCGCUGGGGUAGACACAGGGGAAUCAGGUUGUCCCACGUGGGGCUCACAGUCUUAAUCCCCAUUUUACAGAUGAGGGAACUGAGGCACAGAGAAGUUAAGUGACUUGCCCACAGUCACACAGCUGACAAGUGGCAGAGCUGGGAUUCGAACUCAAUUCGAAUUGAAAUAGCCUGUGCCAGGUUUGGGCCCACGUGAAUGUGGCUGUGUGGUAACGAUUCUGAAAAUAAUUGUCGUGCACGUCAAUCUGUCCGCGGUAAGCGGAGCACUGUUCUAAAUGCUCGAGAGAGUAUAAUGUAACAGAGUCGGUAGACAUGCUUCCUGCUUACCAGAAGCAUUUCUUGGCAUUUCCAGGUGUGGAGAAUGUUCUCGAGCUUAACGACUGCUUCUCACGUAGGGUCCUGUUGGUUUUUCUCUUGUCUGGAUGUUUGGGGCUUUACAAAUCCCUUUUCUCUGGUGAGCACUGGACUAAGAGUCCGGUGAUCUGGGUUCUAAUCCCAGUUAUUUCACUGACCUAGCGUGUGACCUUGGGCAAGGCGCUCAAACACCCUGGCCCUCAGUUUCCACAUUGGCAAAAUGGGGAUAAAAUACCUGUCCUCCUCCCUCUUAGAUUGUGAGCCUGUUGGAGGACAAGGACAAGAUCGUUAUGAGUUGAACGCAGCUCUGGGCAUAUAGCAAGUGAGAAGUUGUAUGGCAUAUUGGAUGGAGCACGGGCAUGGGAGUCAGAGGUCGUGAGUUCUAAUCCCGGCUCCACCACCUGUCUGCUGGGUGACCUUCGGCAAGUCACUUAACGUCUCUCUGCCUCAGUUACUUCAGCUGUAAAAUGAGGAUUCAGACUGUUAGCCCCACUUUGGACAACCUGGUGAUCUGGUAUCUACCACAGUGCUUAGAACAGUGCUUGGCACACAGUAAGCACUUAACAAAUGCCAUAAUAAUGAUUAUUAUUCUCUGUGCCUCGGUUACGUCAUCUGUAAAAUGGGGAUUGAGACCGCGAGCCCCACUAGGGACUGUGUCCGACCCAAUUUCUAUCCACCUCAGUGCUUAGUACCGACACUGGCACAUAGUAAGCGCUUAACAAAUACCACAAUUAUUAUUGGUAUUAACGAAUAGCAGAAUUAUUGUUAUUCCUAAGGCACUUUGCAUCUGCAAGGGAUUUUUUUUUUUUUGGCAAGGACACAACCUAGUUUAACCUUGAUUUGUUUCUGAAUCUGAACUUCUUUUAAUUAGGGACACCUCUUUAUCUGAUCCUGUUAUUAGCUCAACGGAGGUUGUGGGGCAUUAAGUAUUUACUGUGUGAGUGACAUUUAUGACAAUAAAUGGAAAGACUGCUGAAGCACUCUGUUACUGAUAUCAUUUCUCCGGGGCGCGAGGGGCAGAAGAAACGUGAACCGUAAUUAAAACUGAAAUUGAGACAUGUCAAGCAGGGAGACACAUUGAAACUUGGAGGAAGGAGGGAUUUUUUUUUAUGGUAUUUGCUAAGUGCUGACUAGGUGCCAGGCACCGUUCUAAGUGCUGGGCUAAACCCAAGCUAAUCAGGUUGGACACAGAUUGACUAAUUGAUCUGUAAAAUAUCUGUUCUCUCUCCUACUUAGACUGGGAUCCCCAGGUGGGACAGGGACUGUGUCCAACCUAAUUAACCUGUAUCUACCUCAGUGCUUAGAAGAGUGUUUGACACAUAGUAAGUGCUUAACAGGCACCAUGAACAAAUAAUGAUAAAAAGUGGAUGGGGAUAUAAAGGUUGCCGAUUUGUACAUUCCAAUCGCUUAUUACAGUGCUCUGCACAUAGUAAGUGCUCAAUAAAUACUAUUGAAUGAAUGAAUAAAAUUAGCUUUUUUAAAAUUUCAUCUCAAAAUGCUGCUUUACCCU